CACGGGUUGCAGCAAUACUACGUGAAACUGAAGGACAACGAGAAGAACCGGAAGCUCUUUGACCUUCUCGAUGUCCUUGAGUUCAACCAGGUCAAUAUUGAGGGUCUGUGUGGUC
This is a microRNA precursor of Cricetulus griseus (Chinese hamster), 115 nucleotides long. The record is from Ensembl. NCBI's taxonomy places the organism in Eukaryota, Metazoa, Chordata, Mammalia, Rodentia, Cricetidae.